This 487-nucleotide ribosomal RNA is filed under the name uncultured Streptomyces sp. RNAcentral describes it as "partial 16S ribosomal RNA". The record is from RNAcentral. Lineage: Bacteria; Bacillati; Actinomycetota; Actinomycetes; Kitasatosporales; Streptomycetaceae.
CACGUAGUUAGCCGGCGCUUCUUCUGCAGGUACCGUCACUUGCGCUUCUUCCCUGCUGAAAGAGGUUUACAACCCGAAGGCCGUCAUCCCUCACGCGGCGUCGCUGCAUCAGGCUUGCGCCCAUUGUGCAAUAUUCCCCACUGCUGCCUCCCGUAGGAGUCUGGGCCGUGUCUCAGUCCCAGUGUGGCCGGCCGCCCUCUCAGGCCGGCUACCCGUCGUCGCCUUGGUGAGCCGUUACCUCACCAACAAGCUGAUAGGCCGCGGGCUCAUCCUGCACCGCCGGAGCUUUCCACACAGAGGAGAUGCCUCCCUGUGUCGUAUCCGGUAUUAGACCCCGUUUCCAGGGCUUGUCCCAGAGUGCAGGGCAGAUUGCCCACGUGUUACUCACCCGUUCGCCACUAAUCCACCCCCGAAGGGGCUUCAUCGUUCGACUUGCAUGUGUUAAGCACGCCGCCAGCGUUCGUCCCGAGCCACGGAUCAAACUACU